AUUGAACGCUGGCGGCAGGCCUAACACAUGCAAGUCGAGCGGAUGAAGGGAGCUUGCUCCUGGAUUCAGCGGCGGACGGGUGAGUAAUGCCUAGGAAUCUGCCUGGUAGUGGGGGAUAACGUCCGGAAACGGGCGCUAAUACCGCAUACGUCCUGAGGGAGAAAGUGGGGGAUCUUCGGACCUCACGCUAUCAGAUGAGCCUAGGUCGGAUUAGCUAGUUGGUGGGGUAAAGGCCUACCAAGGCGACGAUCCGUAACUGGUCUGAGAGGAUGAUCAGUCACAUUGGAGGUUAGACGGGGACAGGGGGACUGCGGGAGGGAGCAGGGGGGGAUAGGGGACAAUGGGGGGAAGGGUGGUACAGCGGUGGGAGGGGUGUGAAGGGAGGGUUGGGAUGGUGAGGCAGUUUAGGGUGGGAGGAAGGGCAGUAAGCUGGGACGUUGCGUGGGUGACGUUACGGGCAGAAGAAGGACCGGCUAACUUCGUG
This 484-nucleotide ribosomal RNA is filed under the name uncultured bacterium. Its description in RNAcentral is "partial 16S ribosomal RNA". The stretch from base 20 to 328 matches the Rfam family "Bacterial small subunit ribosomal RNA", at positions 47 to 358 of the family's 1533-position model. The record is from RNAcentral.